This 226-nucleotide long non-coding RNA is filed under the name Salvia miltiorrhiza (redroot sage). Its description in RNAcentral is "long non-coding RNA (SMIL_LNC013437)". Lineage: Eukaryota; Viridiplantae; Streptophyta; Magnoliopsida; Lamiales; Lamiaceae. The record is from RNAcentral.
GUUUUUUUCCAACAAAAAUAUUGCUCCGAAAUUAUUGGAGUAACAUCAUUUAUUUGGAUGAAAGUCUGAAACUCGUAUCCCUAGUUUUCUUCAUAUAUCAGUUUAUCACUACGUCUCGCUGCAGUUUAUGGGAUAUUAGAGUAGUAUUAAUACUAUUACAUAUAUAAGAUUAAAAAUUUAUUCAAAUUACACUCACGGAUGAUGUUCGUUGAUUUCACCUCUCAAA